This 1382-nucleotide long non-coding RNA is filed under the name Heterocephalus glaber (naked mole-rat). Its description in RNAcentral is "lncRNA (ENSHGLG00100042166.1)". Lineage: Eukaryota; Metazoa; Chordata; Mammalia; Rodentia; Bathyergidae. The record is from RNAcentral.
GCAGAGUUUGUGGGUGCAAGGGAUGCAUGCCACAUCUCACCUUCAUGAGAUGGCCUGUCGGUAUGCAGAGCACAUGGCAGUAUCCACCAGCCCUUGUGACCUGUCACUCUGGCAUAUGAAUGCUGCUUUCUGUCCAUCGCAUCAGCCUGAAUCUGGGCACUCAGCAGGGUCUGGUCAGUUUGCCUUUCUUCAGGAUUCUAGAGGCAGCUGUUCUGAAGAAAUACCCCCAGCUCUGGUUGAGACUGCUAGACUUAAGCUGGUCCCAUAGGAGGCAAACUGCUGAGAAGCAUUUAGUGGCAUGGCUAGUAAUGAUGUAUAAAUUUUUUCUCUGAAAAUGGUUAUUUUCCAAUCCAGUCCCUUAAUAUGUGAUGUGGUUGUGCCUCAGAAAUCCCUUCCUUUCAUAAUGGUCUUGUACUACUGAAAUGUCUUGCAUUUCUGUGUCUUGCUUAAGUUCAGAACUUGGUCAAACCGAGUUUAGGAACUUAGAGCCACAUUGUCUUAUAUUGCAGUAAAUUUGUGAGUUGUGAGUGGAUAUUUCCAUAAGAAUGCACAUUCAUUCUGUUUCUCUUUUCAGGAGUCUUGUCAGCAGUGCCAGCUCCUUGGCAUUUUGUAUGACACUACAUCAUGAGUGACAGCAAAUGUGAUAGUUUUACAGUGUGCAAGUGGCAGACUCAACUUUCACUGUCCUGAAAUGGUACCAGCAGUUGAAACCAAUUGGCUCUGGAGCCCAAGGGAUUGUUUGGCACCGUCAUUGCAGUGCCUUGCCCUCCAUUGGCAGGAUGAGGCCAGUCGGUGUCACUGUCACACCAUGGGUUAGCCAGGAAGGGAUGCUGUGUCAGGGCUUGGGCUGGCCGCCUUCCUUGGUGUCUCUUCAACUAUGUUUCCAGCCCAGGACAUCAGAACUGUUAGUCUGACCCUGAAUCUGAGUCUCGCAUGGUCAGACAGUCGUCAGCUGCAGCGAUGUCACUGGCCAGUGAAAGGUUUUGGUACCGGGGAUCGAACUUGGGACUUUGUGCUUGCGAGGCAGGUGCCGGAACCACUGAGGUAAAUCCCCGGCCCUUAAAUACCUGUUUGAAAAGUCAUAUUAGUUGUAUUUGUCCCCAUAGGACAAUAGUUACCUUCAAGCAAUUUUAACUUUACAGCUGUAACUGAUACUUGCUGUUUUGAUAUCCUCCUAUCUUAUGUUCUAAUUUGGAAAACUAAAAACCUCAGAAGUGAUUUUGGCUUCCUUUGUCCCUCUUUCUUUUUUAUAUUCAUCCUUCACCAGGCUUAAGACACCAAGUAGGAUUGGGAAACAAUGUGGUGAUGACACAUUCCUGUUUAAAAAUCAAAAAUCAACUGACUUGCUAAAAUAAACUCAACAGGUUAGCUACUGCCUUGAC